This is a small nucleolar RNA of Apodemus sylvaticus (European woodmouse), 126 nucleotides long. RefSeq annotates it as small nucleolar RNA SNORA17. The transcript has a single exon. The record is from RefSeq and is a predicted model, not a curated record. NCBI's taxonomy places the organism in Eukaryota, Metazoa, Chordata, Mammalia, Rodentia, Muridae.
AAAGCCCCUAGAGACAUUGCAGGUGUGGCUGCUGUAUCAUAUGUACAUCAGUAGGUGGCAGGGUGGAAAGAGACUGUCCUCAGUGUGCUGACCUGUGAACAUCUGAAUGAUUAGUACCCUAAUACU